This 2664-nucleotide long non-coding RNA is filed under the name Homo sapiens (human). RNAcentral's name for it is "non-protein coding lnc-UBLCP1-10:2". The record is from RNAcentral. Lineage: Eukaryota; Metazoa; Chordata; Mammalia; Primates; Hominidae.
AUAACUCCAGAGCCCCAGCUUUUCCUACCAUUAAUCGUAAGAUUAGAUCCUGGAUACAGAAAUGCUAAAUGAUCAACAAACAUAGUUAGCUCUGAACUCAAAUGAAUGUUUUUUUCCUUUCCCUUUCAUUGAAGAGAGGGGAAAAAAAGCUUCACAUCUAUAAAGUGUGUUCUGUCUCACAAGAGAAUCCUAGCUGGUGUGUAGGAGUGGAGGAAGUGGACUCAGGACAAAUAAAAAUUCACUGCAUUUUUAACAUAUAAACUAAUCAUUCCUCUCUCUUCCAGUGUAAGUCACGAGCCAUACCUCUUCUCAUGCCCUUCAAGGUCCUUCACACAUCAGCCCCAACCCUUUUGUACCCAUUGCCACAUACCCCAUUACUGCUAUUUCCCUCCCACGGGGGUAUAACCUUUCCAAAACUUUUAGUAAAUUCAUAGAAGCCUGUCUGAACUUUUUCUCUCACAUCCCCCAUCAAAGUCUGCUUUCUGAUCCUUGCUUCUUGGAAGGACACAUGUUCAGCAUCUUACAGAGCUGCCCAACCCAGAACUGUCUGCAUUUCAGACAGAAGAAAAACCUCCAAUCAUGUCUCAUUCAUCUUUGCAUCACCUGGACCUUUCAGGAGAUAGGCACUAUAUUUUCCACAUGCUCCAUGUGGAAAUACCUUAUUCUCCAGAGCAAAAUCAUAACACCUGGUCCAACAGCAUGAACACUCUUAGGGAAGAAGACAGAAUGGUCUCCAGACAUACAAUGAGCACUCAACAAACAUUUGUGGUAUAUGAAUUUGUGCACUUCUUGAUGGACUCAAUGAAGAAUCACCAGAUGCCUCCUACACCCAAGUACGCAGUAGGUACUCAAUAAAGAAAAAAGGAUGGACUAUCAAGCUUCCCUCCCCAUAGGAACUUUACACUCAGCUUCUAUAACAGAUGCAUCUGGUGCCUACCUCACAUCCCUGUGUCCCACCUCUGACUUCAGCCACAUGUCUGACCCUGACCACAACCUGCUAUGUCGUGGCUUCCUUCCACGGCAUGCCAACUCUGAAGCAGAUGCCCAGCCUGCACACCAGCACCCUGGGACAGCCCUCAACCAAGAGGGGACAGGUGCCAGGAGAUAAUGCUCUAGCCUCUUGUACUUCUGGAGCCUGGCUCUAGGAGGCACAUUUUACUCUGUCCCUUAGAAGAUUCCAAUGGGACCAUGUACCAGCCACAGCAGUGACUCUGAUAAUACAUCACUGCCUUACUUUUUCUUCCUUGCCUUUUUUCCCUCUUCUCUCUCCCUCAUUUCCUGCUUCCUAAGAUCAUGCCCAUAUAAACUACCUGCAUCCAAAUCCCUGCUGAAGGUCUAAUUUCUGGGGAACUGCAAACUAAGAAAGCCUCUGAUCUAAGCCAGCCAUUUCAGGAUCCACAAGAGACUCUUUCACUCUGGCUGAUGAAUUCCACACCAAAAACAGGGUGAGGGCCGUUCAGCAACUUUUCAGUUCUGUUGUUCUCUGAGGACAUCUGUGGAUGUUUUCAGUGGAAGCAGUACACAGUAAGUGCUAAAUACACAUGUCUUCCAAAUUAAAUCCAGGUAAAAAUCCAGCUUCUUCACAAGUAGUAAAAAGGAGGUAAUAAUGUACAUGGCAUCCCAAAUUAUUCAUUUUGUCACACCAUUCCCCUGCAUUCGUCAGGAUUUCAUUUGGCUCCUUUUUCCAACCUUAGCCCAGCAUGCUAGCAGGUAUUUAUCAAUAUAUUAAAUGCUACUUAAACUUCCUAAAAUGAUCCCAGAACAGUAAAGGGGAAAAAAGCUUCUGAUUUAAAGCUAAACAUACACAGCUAUCCAUUAGCAUGACAAUGUCUGCAUUUUACUUAGACAUUGCCAUUAAUAAUGAAAUGAUGUAUGAUUUCCACUCCAGCAGCUCUUCCUUCCUUGCACAAUCAAUUAUACAUUUAAGAAAAUACUUAGUGGAUAGAAAGCUCCUCUAAUUAAGCAUCACUUGAGGGAGCUUGUGAGAUUCUUAAAACUAGAAAAGAUAUCUCAGAGAAGUAGGAUGGUGGAGGGAAAAAAAAUCCACUCAAAAUGUUUGAGUCUUGAUUAGACAAACUCUCAGGCAUUCUGAACCACUAUGAAAGGAAAAACUCACACACACAUAUAUUUUAACCCAAUAGACUUUGAGGCGAACUAAAUAUUCUGCAAAAUGUAAAAACUUUCUCUUUGUUCCAGCUAAGAAGCCAGGACUAAAUUGAAAUUAGAUAUUUUGGUUGAGAUCCAGCCCCAGCCCCAGAAUUGCUGUCCCUUUUUUGUCUUCCCUGUCAAAAUCAUUGAGGAGUUAAGAUAGUUGGUUCUUCAGAACUCUGGAAAUUGUCCAACGUUAGAAUCAAAUAGAAAUAGCAUAAGAUUUCCCAGAAGGCAAAACAAGGAUGGUUUUCCUCACUAAAAUUAUUACAUAUCACAUCGUGUUCUUGGGAGGGGUGCUUAUCUGGUGAUAAUCUCCAGAAUGAUUUUACAUCCCGGUUGUCCUACAAAACUAACUCUCUCCGACACAGCACAGCAAAUUCAUUCAAUUUGGUGGGUCCUAACGCUUUCUCUUUCUCUCCCUCUAGAGGCAGAAAAUGAAGCACUAAAUAAGGUUUAAUUUCACGGCAUUAAAAACAAAACCAAGGAUAAGCCACUCUGACAGGAACAGAAAGC